CAGUCGCCGCGGUAACACGGAGGGAGCUAGCGUUAUUCGGAAUUACUGGGCGUAAAGCGCACGUAGGCGGCUUUGUAAGUUAGAGGUGAAAGCCUGGAGCUCAACUCCAGAAUUGCCUUUAAGACUGCAUCGCUUGAAUCCAGGAGAGGUGAGUGGAAUUCCGAGUGUAGAGGUGAAAUUCGUAGAUAUUCGGAAGAACACCAGUGGCGAAGGCGGCUCACUGGACUGGUAUUGACGCUGAGGUGCGAAAGCGUGGGGAGCAAACAGGAUUAGAUACCCGGGUAGUCCCUGUCUCUUAUAC
RNAcentral lists this ribosomal RNA (301 nucleotides) under uncultured bacterium. RNAcentral's name for it is "partial 16S ribosomal RNA". It matches the Rfam family "Bacterial small subunit ribosomal RNA", at positions 509 to 807 of the family's 1533-position model. The record is from RNAcentral.